This 253-nucleotide ribosomal RNA is filed under the name uncultured bacterium. Its description in RNAcentral is "partial 16S ribosomal RNA". It matches the Rfam family "Bacterial small subunit ribosomal RNA", at positions 524 to 776 of the family's 1533-position model. The record is from RNAcentral.
UACGAGGGGGGCAAGCGUUGUUCGGAUUUAUUGGGCGUAAAGGGUGCGUAGGCGGUUUGGUAAGUCUUAUGUGAAAUCUACAGGCUCAACUUGUUGUCUGCAUGAGAAACUGCCGGGCUUGAGUAUGGGAGAGGUGAGUGGAAUUCCUGGUGUAGCGGUGAAAUGCGUAGAUAUCAGGAGGAACACCUGUGGCGAAAGCGGCUCACUGGACCAUAACUGACGCUGAUGCACGAAAGCUAGGGGAGCAAACAGG